UAAAGCGCACGCAGGCGGUCUGUCAAGUCGGAUGUGAAAUCCCCGGGCUCAACCUGGGAACUGCAUUCGAAACUGGCAGGCUUGAGUCUUGUAGAGGGGGGUAGAAUUCCAGGUGUAGCGGUGAAAUGCGUAGAGAUCUGGAGGAAUACCGGUGGCGAAGGCGGCCCCCUGGACAAAGACUGACGCUCAGGUGCGAAAGCGUGGGGAGCAAACAGGAUUAGAUACCCUGGUAGUCCACGCCGUAAACGAUGUCUACUUGGAGGUUGUGCCCUUGAGGCGUGGCUUCCGGAGCUAACGCGUUAAGUAGACCGCCUGGGGAGUACGGCCGCAAGGUUAAAACUCAAAUGAAUUGACGGGGGCCCGCACAAGCGGUGGAGCAUGUGGUUUAAUUCGAUGCAACGCGAAGAACCUUACCUGGUCUUGACAUCCACGGAAGUUUUCAGAGAUGAGAAUGUGCCUUCGGGAACCGUGAGACAGGUGCUGCAUGGCUGUCG
Molecule: ribosomal RNA, 494 nt
Filed under: Salmonella enterica subsp. enterica serovar Paratyphi B
Lineage: Bacteria; Pseudomonadati; Pseudomonadota; Gammaproteobacteria; Enterobacterales; Enterobacteriaceae
Also listed under: 1 other name
Description: bacterial SSU rRNA
Rfam family: Bacterial small subunit ribosomal RNA
Source: RNAcentral